CCCUAGUAACGGCGAGUGAAGAGGGAAAAGCUCAAAGUUGGAACCUGGCUGUCUUAGAUAGUCCGGAUUGUAAACUAAAGAGCGUGAAUCCAGGCAAGCCGGUUGAUCAAGUCCUUUGGAAUGAGGCGCCACUGAGGGUGAGAGCCCCGUAAAUCGACUGAGCAUUUGUCUUUUGUGUUUCGCGUUCAAAGAGUCAGGUUGUUUGGGAAUGCAGCCUAAAGCUGGUGGUAAAUCCCACCUAAAGCUAAAUACAGGCGAGAGACCGAUAGCGAACAAGUACCGUGAGGGAAAGAUGAAAAGUACUUUGAAAAGAGAGUUAAACAGUAUGUGAAAUUGCCAAGAGGGAAGCAUUUGGAGUUAGACUGACUUGAAGUUAAUCAGCUUGGUCUUUGGACUGGGUGUACUUGACUUCUAUGUCUGCCAAUAGCAGUUAGUCCUGGUGGAAAAAACUGAAGGGAAGGUAGUCCUUCGGGAUGUUUAUAGACCUUUGGAAAAUACACUGGGAUUGACUGAGGAAUGCAGUAGAUGCUAUUAAGGCUUCGUCUAGUAGGUGUUAGGUGAAGGUACUUGGUAUUUUCAGCUUGCUGAUGUGCUAGGUUACUUGAGCUUAAUUGCUUGCUAGAACUGUAAUCUACUUUGGUUAUUGGCUUAAU
RNAcentral lists this ribosomal RNA (653 nucleotides) under Lichtheimia corymbifera. RNAcentral describes it as "partial large subunit ribosomal RNA". It matches the Rfam family "Eukaryotic large subunit ribosomal RNA", at positions 78 to 635 of the family's 3401-position model. The record is from RNAcentral. Lineage: Eukaryota; Fungi; Mucoromycota; Mucoromycetes; Mucorales; Lichtheimiaceae.